AGCAAGAGAGGGCGGAGGGGGCAAGCAGCCGCUUUAAUAGUCAGGCACACCUGGCUGUUGCCAGGUAACUGUGGGGCGGAGCUUAGACAAAAUGCUAACACCGGCCCGCGUCCUUUUUUUUCUUCCAGAAAUAUCCAAAUUAGUGGCUGGAGAUUCUGUUUCCACUCCUGAUAGUUAGAACUGUGGGAGGAGAAGGGGAUGGCAAGAGGUCUUUCUCAGAAGACAAGGACAUGGGAUUGGCAGGGAAACAGAGGUCACGCUUGCUUGGACAGGACACGUCUAGUUCAUAUGCACAUUACCAGGCGGUGCGAGGCUGAGGGAGUGUCUCCGAAGAUGUAUCAGUCUGUGCCUCUUCAUCCCUGAUGACCCUGCUUUAUUCCUUGUGAUUUCAAACUUCAUGGUGGUCCCAACCUGUUGGAUGAAGGGCGUGGACACCAGACCCAAGAACAGAAGCGCCAGCCGCAAGCUGACCAGUACUGGCUCACAAUGGAGGCUUCCAAAGGAACCUAACCAGUCACCACACACCGCUGGCCUGUGAGUUGCAGCACAGAGAGUGGCUGAGCUGUAAACUCCAGGGUGUGCUGUUAUCCUGAGGAUCAGGUGGUGUUGGCGCAGGCCUCAGGAGUCAGAGGCAGGCUGGUCUCUGAGUCCAACUGUGCAGUGAGUUCCAGGAUAGCCAAGCUACACAGAGAAACUGCCUCAAAAGUAAAAAUAAAAUAAAGAAUACAUUUUUAAAGG
RNAcentral lists this long non-coding RNA (738 nucleotides) under Rattus norvegicus (Norway rat). RNAcentral describes it as "long non-coding RNA NONRATT022192". The record is from RNAcentral. Lineage: Eukaryota; Metazoa; Chordata; Mammalia; Rodentia; Muridae.